This 310-nucleotide unclassified non-coding RNA is filed under the name Hevea brasiliensis (rubber tree). Lineage: Eukaryota; Viridiplantae; Streptophyta; Magnoliopsida; Malpighiales; Euphorbiaceae. The record is from RNAcentral.
GGGAAAAGAAGGGACCUGUUGGACCUUCUUCAUUUUAUAAACAACACCGCUAAAUAGUGUAUUUACAUGAGAAUUUAUCGCGGUGUAUGAAAAACUAAGAAUGUAGCUUAUUAGUAGAGUAAACACUCUUCGAAUGUGGUGUUUGAUGUUUUGGUAACACAGCAGCAAAUAUCACCAUGCCGCUGAGGAGAGCUAAACUGAGUCCCAUGCCAUUUACGAUCAUGGAUUCCGUGCAACGUUUCUGUACAGCUCCGUUUGUUUGCAAGAAGGUUAACUUUUCGAGAAGUCCUGUUUCUGCUGUUGCCACUGC